UGGCGGACGGGGGAGUAAUGUCUGGGAAACUGCCUGAUGGAGGGGGGUAACUACUGGAAACGGUAGCUAAUACCGCAUAACGUCGCAAGACCAAAGAGGGGGACCUUCGGGCCUCUUGCCAUCGGAUGUGCCCAGAUGGGAUUAGCUAGUAGGUGGGGUAAAGGCUCACCUAGGCGACGAUCCCUAGCUGGUCCGAGAGGAUGACCAGCCACACUGGAACUGAGACACGGUCCAG
This 235-nucleotide ribosomal RNA is filed under the name uncultured bacterium. RNAcentral describes it as "partial 16S ribosomal RNA". It matches the Rfam family "Bacterial small subunit ribosomal RNA", at positions 96 to 334 of the family's 1533-position model. The record is from RNAcentral.